Molecule: long non-coding RNA, 857 nt
Filed under: Equus asinus (donkey)
Lineage: Eukaryota; Metazoa; Chordata; Mammalia; Perissodactyla; Equidae
Description: lncRNA (ENSEASG00005031206.1)
Source: RNAcentral
CACUGCUGUGGAGGGAUUUUGCCGAUGUAAUUAAGGGAAAGGAUCUUCAAAUAGGGAGACUAGCCUGGAUUAUACAGGUGGGUCCAAUCUAAUCACUUGAGCAUUGAGAAGCCGAGAAUUAUCUUCAGCUGGAUUCAAAGAGAUGUGGUGGAGGAGGACAGCAGGAUGAGGAGGCCAAAGGGGUAGUUAAAGAGAUGUGAAUCAAGAGAAGGGCUGGACCUCCCCCGAUAGCUUUGAAUGUGAAGGGAGGGGGCCUUCAGAAGCUGAGAAAGACUCCAGCUGACAACCCAAAAGGAAUUGGGGCUUCAGUUCUGCAACCACAUGGAACUGAAUUCAACCAACAACUUGAACGACUUUGGAAGCAGUCGUUUUUCCUAGAGUCUACUGCUAAGAACCCAGUGGCAACACCUUGAUUUCAGGCUUGUGAGACCUGGAGCAAUGAAGCCCACUGGACUGGUGAUCUACAGAAAAAGAUUGCUCUGGCUGCGGUGUCUCCACACUGUUGGGGAUCAAAACAAGAGGAAGACCAGUUAGGAGUCUAUCGCAGGAAUCCAGGGAACCACGAAAGUGAAGCUGUGAAAACCCUGAAUGCUGAAGAGUGUGGAGAAUCCCAGACGAUGAAGAACCAGAGAAUCUCGAAGCUCUGUCUACCUACACCUCUGACUCAUGUAUGUGCAGAACAGACUCAGAUUAAAAACACAACGUUGAGGUGAGCCUGGAACUGUUGCCCAAGGAACAGGGUUUGAAGUUCAGGUCUAGCUAGACUAAUUAGCUGUUGAAGGAAACAACACUCACUGGAGAAAACUGGCAGAAUUCUGAAUCUUCACCAAUUAACAUUAGUAACGUUGAAGAUAUGA